UACGAAGGGGGCUAGCGUUGUUCGGAAUUACUGGGCGUAAAGGGCGCGUAGGCGGACAGUUUAGUCAGAGGUGAAAGCCCAGGGCUCAACCUUGGAAUUGCCUUUGAUACUGGCUGUCUUGAGUUCGGGAGAGGUGAGUGGAAUGCCGAGUGUAGAGGUGAAAUUCGUAGAUAUUCGGCGGAACACCAGUGGCGAAGGCGACUCACUGGCCCGAUACUGACGCUGAGGCGCGAAAGCGUGGGGAGCAAACAGG
Molecule: ribosomal RNA, 253 nt
Filed under: uncultured bacterium
Lineage: Bacteria
Description: partial 16S ribosomal RNA
Rfam family: Bacterial small subunit ribosomal RNA
Source: RNAcentral